UACAGAGGGUGCGAGCGUUAAUCGGAAUUACUGGGCGUAAAGCGUGCGUAGACGGUCAAGUAAGUCGGGUGUGAAAGCCCCGGGCUCAACCUGGGAAUUGCAUUCGAGACUGCGUGGCUAGGGUGCGGAAGAGGGAAGCGGAAUUUCCGGUGUAGCGGUGAAAUGCGUAGAUAUCAGGAGGAACACCGGUGGCGAAGGCGGUGGUCUGGGCCGGCACUGACGCUGAGGAGCGAAAGCGUGGGGAGCGAACAGG
This 253-nucleotide ribosomal RNA is filed under the name uncultured bacterium. Its description in RNAcentral is "partial 16S ribosomal RNA". It matches the Rfam family "Bacterial small subunit ribosomal RNA", at positions 524 to 776 of the family's 1533-position model. The record is from RNAcentral.